This 510-nucleotide ribosomal RNA is filed under the name uncultured bacterium. Its description in RNAcentral is "bacterial SSU rRNA". It matches the Rfam family "Bacterial small subunit ribosomal RNA", at positions 36 to 518 of the family's 1533-position model. The record is from RNAcentral.
CUGGCGGCGUGCCUAAUACAUGCAAGUCGAACGGUCUUUCUAUGGAAGCUUGCUUCCACUGAGAAGAUAGUGGCGAACGGGUGAGUAACACGUGGGUAACCUGCCCAUAAGAGGGGGGAUAACAUCCGGAAACGGGUGCUAAUACCGCAUAGUUUUCUUGAUCGCAUGAUUGGGAAAGGAAAGACGGCCUUUGUGCUGUCGCUUAUGGAUGGACCCGCGGCGUAUUAGUUAGUUGGUGAGGUAACGGCUCACCAAGACGAUGAUACGUAGCCGACCUGAGAGGGUGAUCGGCCACAUUGGGACUGAGACACGGCCCAAACUCCUACGGGAGGCAGCAGUAGGGAAUCUUCCGCAAUGGACGAAAGUCUGACGGAGCAACGCCGCGUGAGUGAAAGAAGGUUUUCGGAUCGUAAAACUCUGUUGUCAGAGAAGAACAAGUUGGAGAGUAACUGCUCCAGCCUUGACGGUAUCUGACCAGAAAGCCACGGCUAACUACGUGCCAGCCGCGGC